Molecule: ribosomal RNA, 468 nt
Filed under: uncultured bacterium
Lineage: Bacteria
Description: partial 16S ribosomal RNA
Rfam family: Bacterial small subunit ribosomal RNA
Source: RNAcentral
GAUGAACGCUGGCGGCGUGCUUAACACAUGCAAGUCGAACGGCAAGGCUCUGCGUUUGUGGGCUGCCCGAGUGGCUAACGUGUGAGUACCACCUGAGUAACCUCCCCUUGCCUUUGGGCUCCCUUCAGGAAACUGGGGCUAAUACCGGAUCGGUGCUCCUGCUGCAUGGUGCGGCAUCGCAAGUUUCGGCGGUUGGGUAUGGACUCGCGGCGUAUCAGCUUGCUGGCGGGGUAGGGGCUUACCAAGGCUAUGACCGGUAGCCCGCCUGAGAGGAGCGCCGGCCAGGGUGGGACGGAGAUGCGGCACGGACUCCAACGGGAGGGAGCGGUGGGGAAUAGUGCACAAUGGGCGGAGGCCUGAUGCAGCAACGCCGCGUGGGGGGUGAGGGGCAGCGGGUUGGAAACCGCUGUCGUCUGUGACGAAGAGUGAGUGACGGUAAUGGGGAAAGAAGCACCGGCUAACUACGUG